RNAcentral lists this long non-coding RNA (209 nucleotides) under Elaeis guineensis (African oil palm). RNAcentral's name for it is "long non-coding RNA (EGUI_LNC047898)". Lineage: Eukaryota; Viridiplantae; Streptophyta; Magnoliopsida; Arecales; Arecaceae. The record is from RNAcentral.
UGGGAGGGGAGAACUUGCCAGUGCUCUCAGUCCCCAUUCUAAAAGUAGAAGAAUAGAGACCCUCCUUGGAAUCGCUGACUUCAGAGUCCUCAGAGGGGAGAUCAGCAGCCUUCACCAUCGAGGAGGUACAUCAACUACACUCUACAGAAUAUAUCUAGUUCACAGGUGUUGAUGCAAAUAAGGGAGCAGCUCCCAAAAGUAAGGAGGCU